GGGACACGUGGUAUCCUGUCUGAAUAUGGGGGGACCAUCCUCCAAGGCUAAAUACUCCUGACUGACCGAUAGUGAACCAGUACCGUGAGGGAAAGGCGAAAAGAACCCCGGCGAGGGGAGUGAAAAAGAACCUGAAACCGUGUACGUACAAGCAGUGGGAGCACGCUUAGGCGUGUGACUGCGUACCUUUUGUAUAAUGGGUCAGCGACUUAUAUUCUGUAGCAAGGUUAACCGAAUAGGGGAGCCGAAGGGAAACCGAGUCUUAACUGGGCGUUAAGUUGCAGGGUAUAGACCCGAAACCCGGUGAUCUAGCCAUGGGCAGGUUGAAGGUUGGGUAACACUAACUGGAGGACCGAACCGACUAAUGUUGAAAAAUUAGCGGAUGACUUGUGGCUGGGGGUGAAAGGCCAAUCAAACCGGGAGAUAGCUGGUUCUCCCCGAAAGCUAUUUAGGUAGCGCCUCGUGAAUUCAUCUCCGGGGGUAGAGCACUGUUUCGGCAAGGGGGUCAUCCCGACUUACCAACCCGAUGCAAACUGCGAAUACCGGAGAAUGUUAUCACGGGAGACACACGGCGGGUGCUAACGUCCGUCGUGAAGAGGGAAACAACCCAGACCGCCAGCUAAGGUCCCAAAGUCAUGGUUAAGUGGGAAACGAUGUGGGAAGGCCCAGACAGCCAGGAUGUUGGCUUAGAAGCAGCCAUCAUUUAAAGAAAGCGUAAUAGCUCACUGGUCGAGUCGGCCUGCGCGGAAGAUGUAACGGGGCUAAACCAUGCACCGAAGCUGCGGCAGCGACGCUGAUGCGUUGUUGGGUAGGGGAGCGUUCUGUAAGCCUGCGAAGGUGUGCUGUGAGGCAUGCUGGAGGUAUCAGAAGUGCGAAU
RNAcentral lists this ribosomal RNA (877 nucleotides) under Escherichia coli. RNAcentral describes it as "partial 23S ribosomal RNA". It matches the Rfam family "Bacterial large subunit ribosomal RNA", at positions 419 to 1295 of the family's 2925-position model. The record is from RNAcentral. Lineage: Bacteria; Pseudomonadati; Pseudomonadota; Gammaproteobacteria; Enterobacterales; Enterobacteriaceae.